RNAcentral lists this small RNA (482 nucleotides) under Pan troglodytes (chimpanzee). Its description in RNAcentral is "processed transcript". Lineage: Eukaryota; Metazoa; Chordata; Mammalia; Primates; Hominidae. The record is from RNAcentral.
CUGGGACGGGAGCCCACUUCCUCAGAGCAAGGCGGCCUUGAAGGAUCUGGUUCUGCUGCCGGAGAAGGCAAACCCGUUUUGAGUGAAGAGGAAAGACAGGAACAAACUAAGAGGAUGUUGGAGCUGGUGGCCCAGAAGCAGCGGGAGCGUGAAGAAAGAGAGGAACGGGAGGCAUUGGAACGGGAACGGCAGCGCAGGAGACAAGGGCAAGAGUUGUCAGCAGCACGACAGCGGCUACAGGAAGAUGAGAUGCGCCGGGCUGCUGAGGAGAGGCGGAGGGAAAAGGCCGAGGAGUUAGCAGCCAGGUCCUGUUCCCUCUUCUCCCAGCCAGGAGCCUCCCACCAAGCGGGAGUAUGACCAGUGUCGCAUACAGGUCAGGCUGCCAGAUGGGACCUCACUGACCCAGACGUUCCGGGCCCGGGAACAGCUGGCAGCCGUGAGGCUCUAUGUGGAGCUCCACCGUGGGGAGGAACUAGGUGGGG